RNAcentral lists this ribosomal RNA (2931 nucleotides) under Escherichia coli O157:H7. RNAcentral describes it as "bacterial LSU rRNA". It matches the Rfam family "Bacterial large subunit ribosomal RNA". Lineage: Bacteria; Pseudomonadati; Pseudomonadota; Gammaproteobacteria; Enterobacterales; Enterobacteriaceae. The record is from RNAcentral.
GGGUUGUGAGGUUAAGCGACUAAGCGUACACGGUGGAUGCCCUGGCAGUCAGAGGCGAUGAAGGACGUGCUAAUCUGCGAUAAGCGUCGGUAAGGUGAUAUGAACCGUUAUAACCGGCGAUUUCCGAAUGGGGAAACCCAGUGUGUUUCGACACACUAUCAUUAACUGAAUUCAUAGGUUAAUGAGGCGAACCGGGGGAACUGAAACAUCUAAGUACCCCGAGGAAAAGAAAUCAACCGAGAUUCCCCCAGUAGCGGCGAGCGAACGGGGAGGAGCCCAGAGCCUGAAUCAGUGUGUGUGUUAGUGGAAGCGUCUGGAAAGGCGCGCGAUACAGGGUGACAGCCCCGUACACAAAAAUGCACAUGCUGUGAGCUCGAUGAGUAGGGCGGGACACGUGGUAUCCUGUCUGAAUAUGGGGGGACCAUCCUCCAAGGCUAAAUACUCCUGACUGACCGAUAGUGAACCAGUACCGUGAGGGAAAGGCGAAAAGAACCCCGGCGAGGGGAGUGAAAAAGAACCUGAAACCGUGUACGUACAAGCAGUGGGAGCACAGAGCAAUCUGUGUGACUGCGUACCUUUUGUAUAAUGGGUCAGCGACUUAUAUUCUGUAGCAAGGUUAACCGAAUAGGGGAGCCGAAGGGAAACCGAGUCUUAACUGGGCGUUAAGUUGCAGGGUAUAGACCCGAAACCCGGUGAUCUAGCCAUGGGCAGGUUGAAGGUUGGGUAACACUAACUGGAGGACCGAACCGACUAAUGUUGAAAAAUUAGCGGAUGACUUGUGGCUGGGGGUGAAAGGCCAAUCAAACCGGGAGAUAGCUGGUUCUCCCCGAAAGCUAUUUAGGUAGCGCCUCGUGAAUUCAUCUCCGGGGGUAGAGCACUGUUUCGGCAAGGGGGUCAUCCCGACUUACCAACCCGAUGCAAACUGCGAAUACCGGAGAAUGUUAUCACGGGAGACACACGGCGGGUGCUAACGUCCGUCGUGAAGAGGGAAACAACCCAGACCGCCAGCUAAGGUCCCAAAGUCAUGGUUAAGUGGGAAACGAUGUGGGAAGGCCCAGACAGCCAGGAUGUUGGCUUAGAAGCAGCCAUCAUUUAAAGAAAGCGUAAUAGCUCACUGGUCGAGUCGGCCUGCGCGGAAGAUGUAACGGGGCUAAACCAUGCACCGAAGCUGCGGCAGCGACACUGUGUGUUGUUGGGUAGGGGAGCGUUCUGUAAGCCUGUGAAGGUGUGCUGUGAGGCAUGCUGGAGGUAUCAGAAGUGCGAAUGCUGACAUAAGUAACGAUAAAGCGGGUGAAAAGCCCGCUCGCCGGAAGACCAAGGGUUCCUGUCCAACGUUAAUCGGGGCAGGGUGAGUCGACCCCUAAGGCGAGGCCGAAAGGCGUAGUCGAUGGGAAACAGGUUAAUAUUCCUGUACUUGGUGUUACUGCGAAGGGGGGACGGAGAAGGCUAUGUUGGCCGGGCGACGGUUGUCCCGGUUUAAGCGUGUAGGCUGGUUUUCCAGGCAAAUCCGGAAAAUCAAGGCUGAGGCGUGAUGACGAGGCACUACGGUGCUGAAGCAACAAAUGCCCUGCUUCCAGGAAAAGCCUCUAAGCAUCAGGUAACAUCAAAUCGUACCCCAAACCGACACAGGUGGUCAGGUAGAGAAUACCAAGGCGCUUGAGAGAACUCGGGUGAAGGAACUAGGCAAAAUGGUGCCGUAACUUCGGGAGAAGGCACGCUGAUAUGUAGGUGAAGUCCCUCGCGGAUGGAGCUGAAAUCAGUCGAAGAUACCAGCUGGCUGCAACUGUUUAUUAAAAACACAGCACUGUGCAAACACGAAAGUGGACGUAUACGGUGUGACGCCUGCCCGGUGCCGGAAGGUUAAUUGAUGGGGUCAGCGCAAGCGAAGCUCUUGAUCGAAGCCCCGGUAAACGGCGGCCGUAACUAUAACGGUCCUAAGGUAGCGAAAUUCCUUGUCGGGUAAGUUCCGACCUGCACGAAUGGCGUAAUGAUGGCCAGGCUGUCUCCACCCGAGACUCAGUGAAAUUGAACUCGCUGUGAAGAUGCAGUGUACCCGCGGCAAGACGGAAAGACCCCGUGAACCUUUACUAUAGCUUGACACUGAACAUUGAGCCUUGAUGUGUAGGAUAGGUGGGAGGCUUUGAAGUGUGGACGCCAGUCUGCAUGGAGCCGACCUUGAAAUACCACCCUUUAAUGUUUGAUGUUCUAACGUGGACCCGUGAUCCGGGUUGCGGACAGUGUCUGGUGGGUAGUUUGACUGGGGCGGUCUCCUCCUAAAGAGUAACGGAGGAGCACGAAGGUUGGCUAAUCCUGGUCGGACAUCAGGAGGUUAGUGCAAUGGCAUAAGCCAGCUUGACUGCGAGCGUGACGGCGCGAGCAGGUGCGAAAGCAGGUCAUAGUGAUCCGGUGGUUCUGAAUGGAAGGGCCAUCGCUCAACGGAUAAAAGGUACUCCGGGGAUAACAGGCUGAUACCGCCCAAGAGUUCAUAUCGACGGCGGUGUUUGGCACCUCGAUGUCGGCUCAUCACAUCCUGGGGCUGAAGUAGGUCCCAAGGGUAUGGCUGUUCGCCAUUUAAAGUGGUACGCGAGCUGGGUUUAGAACGUCGUGAGACAGUUCGGUCCCUAUCUGCCGUGGGCGCUGGAGAACUGAGGGGGGCUGCUCCUAGUACGAGAGGACCGGAGUGGACGCAUCACUGGUGUUCGGGUUGUCAUGCCAAUGGCACUGCCCGGUAGCUAAAUGCGGAAGAGAUAAGUGCUGAAAGCAUCUAAGCACGAAACUUGCCCCGAGAUGAGUUCUCCCUGACCCUUUAAGGGUCCUGAAGGAACGUUGAAGACGACGACGUUGAUAGGCCGGGUGUGUAAGCGCAGCGAUGCGUUGAGCUAACCGGUACUAAUGAACCGUGAGGCUUAACCUUACAACGCCGAAGCUGUU